RNAcentral lists this unclassified non-coding RNA (527 nucleotides) under Hevea brasiliensis (rubber tree). Lineage: Eukaryota; Viridiplantae; Streptophyta; Magnoliopsida; Malpighiales; Euphorbiaceae. The record is from RNAcentral.
AAGAUUGGAGAAUGUGCUUAUUGUCAAAGAGGGCAAUACUAAGUUCAACUUUGGCGACAAGGGUUACUUGACAUUUGAGCAUAUAACUUGGGCACCAUAUCAGAGGAAGUUGAUUGAUGUUAGCCUUCUGGUGCCCGAAGAGAUCCAAUGGUUGAACGAGUACCACUGUAAAUGCUCGGAAAUCCUCGCUCCUUAUUUGAAUCAAUCUGAGAUGGAAUGGUUGAAGAAUGCUACUGCACCCAUUGCAGCUUGAGAUGUUCAGUGCUCUUACCCUUUAUUGAAUAAAGUUUGUAAAAUUCAGCACUCAUACAAUAAAAAACCUAUACUUGUCAUUAUUAUAUAUAUACGCAUUACUGCAUUUGGAGAUGGUGGUCCUGGGAAAAAAAGAAAGGGUUUUAUUUUGGUUUUCCUGGCUAUAUUUGUACUACUUUAGUGCGAUUUUUUCAAGGGUGUGUUUGGUUGGUCACUCUGCGAAAUCGAGUCCCUUAGAAAGUGGAAGCAGGAAGGAUUAGUUCCUUAAGUGAAAU